Pteronotus mesoamericanus is the source of this 70-nucleotide small nucleolar RNA. RefSeq annotates it as small nucleolar RNA SNORD30. Lineage: Eukaryota; Metazoa; Chordata; Mammalia; Chiroptera; Mormoopidae. The record is from RefSeq and is a predicted model, not a curated record. The transcript has a single exon.
AUACGUGAUGACUUCCAUGGCAUCUUGUCUGGCUGAUGACUUGCUGCUGAGACUUGGUAAUCUGAUUUAA